CCUACGGGAGGCAGCAGUAGGGAAUCUUUCACAAUGGGCGAAAGCCUGAUGGAGCAACGCCGCGUGCAGGAUGAAGGCCCUCGGGUUGUAAACUGCUUUUAUAAGCGAGAAAUAUGAUGGUAACUUAUGAAUAAGGAUCGGCUAACUACGUGCCAGCAGCCGCGGUCAUACGUAGGAUCCGAGCAUUAUCCGGAGUGACUGGGUGUAAAGAGUUGCGUAGGUGGCAUAAUAAGUAGCUAGUGAAAUCUGGUGGCUCAACCAUUCAGACUAUUAGCUAAACUGUUAAGCUCGAGACCGUUAGGGGUAACUGGAAUUUCUAGUGUAGGAGUGAAAUGCGUAGAUAUUAGAAGGAACACCAAUAGCGGAGGCAGGUUACUGGGACGGUUCUGACACUAAGGCACGAAAGCGUAGGGAGCAAACGGGAUUAGAUACCCUUGUAGUC
Molecule: ribosomal RNA, 442 nt
Filed under: uncultured bacterium
Lineage: Bacteria
Description: partial 16S ribosomal RNA
Rfam family: Bacterial small subunit ribosomal RNA
Source: RNAcentral